AAGCACAUAGUUAGCGGCGAACGGCUGAGUAACGCGUAAGUAACCUGCCUCGAAGAGGGGAAAAACUAUGAGAAAUCAUAGCUAAUUCCGCGUAAUGUCAAUUAAUUAAUUUAAUUGAAGAAAGAUUUAUCGCUUUGAGAUGGGCUUGCGUCCUAUCAGGUAGUUGGUAAGGUAAUAGCUUACCAAGCCUAAGACGGGUAGCUGGAGUGAGAGCUUGACCAGCCAGAGGGGGACUGAGACACGGCCCCCACUCCUACGGGAGGCAGCAGCAGGGAAUCUUGCACAAUGGGCGAAAGCCUGAUGCAGCGACGCCGCGUGAGGGAUGAAGGUUCUAGGAUCGUAAACCUCUUUUCUUAGGGAAUAGUUUGGAAGGUACCUAAGGAAUAAGUCACGGCUAACUACGUGCCAGCAGCCGCGGUAAUACGUAGGUGGCAAAUGUUGUCCGGAAUCAUUGGGCGUAAAGGGUCCGUAGGUGGCUUGAAAAGUCUUAUGUGAAAUCUCUUGGCUCAACCAAGAAACGCCAUAAGAAACUUUCAUGCUAGAGAUCAUCAGAGGGAGGUAGAAUUCCAGGUGUAGUGGUGAAAUGCGUAGAUAUCUGGAGGAAUACCAAUGGCGAAAGCAGCCUCCUGGGGUGAAUCUGACAUUGAGGG
This 650-nucleotide ribosomal RNA is filed under the name uncultured marine bacterium. RNAcentral describes it as "bacterial SSU rRNA". It matches the Rfam family "Bacterial small subunit ribosomal RNA", at positions 82 to 752 of the family's 1533-position model. The record is from RNAcentral.